UACGGGGGGGGCAAGCGUUGUUCGGAAUUACUGGGCGUAAAGGGCUCGUAGGCGGCCAACUAAGUCAGACGUGAAAUCCCCAGGCUCAACCUGGGAACUGCGUCUGAUACUGGAUGGCUUGAAUUCGGGAGAGGGAUGCAGAAUUCCAGGUGUAGCGGUGAAAUGCGUAGAUAUCUGGAGGAAUACCGGUGGCGAAGGCGGCAUCCUGGACCAACACUGACGCUGAGUGAGCGAAAGCCAGGGGAGCAAACGGG
Molecule: ribosomal RNA, 254 nt
Filed under: uncultured bacterium
Lineage: Bacteria
Description: partial 16S ribosomal RNA
Rfam family: Bacterial small subunit ribosomal RNA
Source: RNAcentral